RNAcentral lists this ribosomal RNA (468 nucleotides) under uncultured bacterium. Its description in RNAcentral is "partial 16S ribosomal RNA". It matches the Rfam family "Bacterial small subunit ribosomal RNA", at positions 28 to 507 of the family's 1533-position model. The record is from RNAcentral.
GACGAACGCUGGCGGCGUGCUUAACACAUGCAAGUCGAACGGAAAGGCCCGGCUUUUGUGGGGUGCUCGAGAGGCGAACGGGUGAGUAAAACGUGAGUAACCUGCCCUUGACAUUGGGAUAACUUCAGGAAACUGGGGCUAAUACACGAUAGGAGCUUCUGCUGCAUGGGGGUGGUUGGAGAGAGUCGGCGGUGGGGGAUGGACUGGCGGCUUAUCCGCUGGAUGGUGGGGUAGUGGCUGACCAAGGCCGUGACGGGUAGCCGGCCUUGGAGCGUGGCCAGCGACCUUGGGCCUGAGAUACGGCCCAGACUGCUACGGGAGGCAGCGGUGGGGAGUCUUGCGCAGUGGCCCGGCGCCAGAUGCAGCGGCGCCCCGUUCGUGAUGACGGCCUUCGGGUUAUAAACCGCUGUCGCAUGUGCCGAAGAGUGAGUGACGGUAAUGGGUAAAGAAGCACCGGCUAACUACGUG